RNA transcript from Sarcophilus harrisii (Tasmanian devil), 1481 nucleotides. It is a transcript of the gene named cAMP-dependent protein kinase type II-alpha regulatory subunit pseudogene, with no coding region annotated. The record is from RefSeq and is a predicted model, not a curated record. Lineage: Eukaryota; Metazoa; Chordata; Mammalia; Dasyuromorphia; Dasyuridae. The transcript has a single exon.
AGGUGUCAGGCUACCUGUGCCCCAGCCUUCCUUUAAUCCAUCGGAGGAGGAGGUGGAGGAGGGGGGUGUGGGAGGCGCAAGACCGGGGGGCACCUGGGGAAAACGGGCUAGUGUUACACGAAUGGAAGAAAGGCCCAGUUCAGGUCACCUCCAGGAAAAAGAGCGAGCCGGUAGCCCCCAGAACUCGAUCAAUCCAGCCUCUCUUCGACCCGCGCAGCAGCCCCACACAGGACGACCAGCAUUGGGCAGUGCCAGGUGAGGAGAGACAACAUCUCGCCCCUCCCAUCUGCCUAGAUGGAGACCAUCACCACCGAUGAUGAAAGGGAAUUCAUCCGGGCCUCCCAGAUCCGGGGCAGAUUCCAGAGAAGGAGUUCCAUUCCAGUCGAAGUCUUUGGUCCCAGCGAAGAGGAAGAAGCCGCGGUGGUGUGGACCAUCUAUCCCAAGUCAGAAGAGCAAAUCAAGAAACUGAAAGAAGCCUGUAAAGACCUACUCCCCUUCCGAGGCCUGGAGGAUGACCUGCUCCUACAGAUCUUCAGUGCCAUGUUUGAGAAGAAAGUCCUCCCCCAAGAGUGCGUGGUGCAACAGGGGGAAGACGGGGACCACUUCUUUGUCAUCGAACACGGGGUGUUUGACAUUAUGAUGGGGCAGAACAACCAGCAGAAUCGCAUCGGCCAGUAUAAAAACAGUGGCACUUUCGGAGAGCUAGCCUUGAUGUAUUCCUAUCCCAGACCCGCUACUAUUAUUGCCGUCACAGAAGGCAGUCUCUGGGGUCUGGAUCGAAAGACUUUCCGGACAAUCACUGUGACGUUCCAGUUGGAGAAGAAGAAGAGGCUACAAAUGUUCAUUGCCUCUGUGCCCUUUUUCAAGAGCCUGGAGGCCACAGAGUCAGCGCAGAUCCUCGAUGUGGUAGAGGAGAAGACCUACGAGCCUGGAGCAUGCAUUUUCCUAAAGGGUGAAAUUGCAGAUAAGUUUUACAUAGUGGAAUCAGGGGAAGUCAAAAUCGUGGCCGAAAAGCCCGGUAGUAAGGAGGUGGGGAUCGUGAGGCAUCAUAAAGAAGAAUAUUUUGGAGAAUCAGCUCUCAUCAACAACAACCCCAGAACAGUUUCAGCUUAUGCAGAAGGAGAAGUCAAAUGCAUAGUUAUGGAUGUGCAGGCACUGGAAAGACUUCUUGGACCUUGUAUGGACAUUUUGAAGAGAGAUAUGUCAAAUUUUGAAGAGCUAAUAGAACUGCUUGGUCCCAUAAUCGACACAACAGUCUGAGGUGUCCAGAGGAACAGGCAUAUUAAUAAUACAGAAAAUCUUCUGAUGGCAAUACCACAAACUAAAAAAAAAAAAAAAAAAAAAAAAAAAUGGACGCGAAAGAACAUUGGACUUAAGUCCUUUGUCUUUUCUCCCCUCAGAAUCAUUUGCUUAUACCUGGGUUGCCAUUGCUGUCAGUGAGUACAAUAAAGCACAGGACUCCUGAGUUGCCCCAAAGCUAA